This 483-nucleotide ribosomal RNA is filed under the name Actinomycetaceae bacterium 'ARUP UnID 82'. RNAcentral's name for it is "bacterial SSU rRNA". It matches the Rfam family "Bacterial small subunit ribosomal RNA", at positions 27 to 506 of the family's 1533-position model. Lineage: Bacteria; Bacillati; Actinomycetota; Actinomycetes; Actinomycetales; Actinomycetaceae. The record is from RNAcentral.
GGACGAACGCUGGCGGCGUGCUUAACACAUGCAAGUCGAACGCUGAAGGCCCAGCUUGCUGGGUUGGAUGAGUGGCGAACGGGUGAGUAACACGUGAGUAACCUGCCCCCUUCUUUGGGAUAACGGUCGGAAACGGCUGCUAAUACCGGGUAUUCACUGUCCUUCGCAUGGGGGGUGGUGGAAAGGUUUUUUCUGGUGGGGGAUGGGCUCGCGGCCUAUCAGCUUGUUGGUGGGGUGAUGGCUUACCAAGGCUUUGACGGGUAACCGGCCUGAGAGGGUGACCGGUCACAUUGGGACUGAGAUACGGCCCAGACUCCUACGGGAGGCAGCAGUGGGGAAUAUUGCACAAUGGGCGAAAGCCUGAUGCAGCGACGCCGCGUGAGGGAUGRMGGCCUUCGGGUUGUAAACCUCUUUCGCUCAUGGUCAAGCCGCAACAGUGGUUGUGGUGAGGGUAGUGGGUAAAGAAGCACCGGCUAACUACGU